Molecule: long non-coding RNA, 582 nt
Organism: Pelobates fuscus (common spadefoot toad)
Lineage: Eukaryota; Metazoa; Chordata; Amphibia; Anura; Pelobatidae
Exons: 3
Source: RefSeq, a predicted model, not a curated record
CACAGCAGAACAAAAUCUUGAGCUUGACUUUCCGUGUCUUCCCAGAGAUUCAGGCAGAAAACCAAACAAUGAACAAGAACCACAUUACCGUACUGUGACUAUCGUAAGACUGUCAUUGUCUCUGUGCAUAUUCAUCAUUGCUUUAUGUUUGCUUAUUCACCACAUCAAGACAGAGGUCCAGAAUGUGAAAAAACAUUGAGAAAAAACUCCAUAUCUUGGAACACAAUGGAAAAUUCACCUCAAUAUUGAAACGAGGAAUACUUGGAGAAUAUACAGCAAUUCUAAAUUUGGAAGUAUUUCUAGCAAUGAUCAUAACUAUGUUUUAUGCUAAGCAUUAGCUUUGGGACCCAAUAUUUAAAGGAACACUCUUGGCAUCAUAAUAGGUUUAUCAAAACUAAGUUGUUAUGGUGCCAGGAGUUUCCCAGGAAUAUUCAUACAAAGGUUGCCUCUAAUGUCGAAUCUCCAAUUACUCUAAUGCAUCCAGGUUCUGAAACUGACUUGUAGGAAGUGCGGAGUACCGCUGAGCUGCUGAGUGCCAAUUUGUAAAAAACAAAACAUAUACGUACCUUUUGUAUAGAUACA